Molecule: ribosomal RNA, 253 nt
Filed under: uncultured bacterium
Lineage: Bacteria
Description: partial 16S ribosomal RNA
Rfam family: Bacterial small subunit ribosomal RNA
Source: RNAcentral
GACGAACCGUGCGAACGUUGUUCGGAAUCACUGGGCUUAAAGGGCGCGUAGGCGGGCCACCAAGUCAGGGGUGAAAUCCCACGGCUCAACCGUGGAAGUGCCUCUGAUACUGGGGGCCUCGAGGGAGGUAGGGGCGUGCGGAACUUCCGGUGGAGCGGUGAAAUGCGUAGAUAUCGGGAGGAACACCGGUGGCGAAAGCGGCGCGCUGGACCUCUUCUGACGCUGAGGCGCGAAAGCCAGGGGAGCAAAUGGG